RNAcentral lists this ribosomal RNA (468 nucleotides) under uncultured bacterium. RNAcentral describes it as "partial 16S ribosomal RNA". It matches the Rfam family "Bacterial small subunit ribosomal RNA", at positions 28 to 507 of the family's 1533-position model. The record is from RNAcentral.
GACGAACGCUGGCGGCGUGCUUAACACAUGCAAGUCGAACGGAAAGGCCCUGCUCUUGUGGGGCGCUCGAGUGGCGAACGGGUGUGUAACACGUGUGUACCCUGCCCUUGACUGUGGGAUAACUUCAGGAAACUGGGGAUAAUACCGGAUAGGAUCUCCUGCUGCGUGGGGGGGGUUGGAAAGUUUCGGCGGUUGGGUAUGGACUCGCGGCUUAUGCGCUUGUUGGGGGGGUAGUGGCUUACCAAGGUUUUGACGGAUAGCCGGCCUGAGAGGGUGACCGGCCACAUUGGGCCUGAGAUACGGACCAGACUCCUACGGGAGGCAGCAGUGGGAAAUAUGGCACAGUGGGGGGAGGCCUGAUGAGGAAACGCCGCGUGCGGGAUGACGGCCUUCGGGUUGUAAACGGCUUUGGACUGUGCCGAGGCGUGAGUGACGGUAAUGGGUAAAGAAGCACCGGCUAACUACGUG